UUCUGUGUCCCACUUCAAGGGGGAAAGGAGCGAGAGAAGGUUGGAGAGACCUUCCUGCUUCUGCCGUUUUCCCAGUUUCCAAGACACCACAUUUUGGGGUGGCAUUUCCUGUGCCCCAUUACAUACUUGACGUCUCAUUAGAUUUACCAAUCUAACCCCAGCACACAUACAGGUCUGCACACACAUGCACAGCACACCAUUUCUCCAUUUGUCUCUCCUAGUUCAAUAAACAGUACCCGCAUCCACACUGUUACCUAAGCCAGACUCCUAGAGCCACCCUCGGUUCCUUCUUCUCCCUCCCCUCCCAUAUCCAAUAUCCAAUCCACCAGCAGUUCAGGAAUGCUCUAACUUCAAAAUCGAUCUCAAAUACAGCCUCUUCUCUUCAUCCGGCAGGCACCUUAGUCCAAGCCAAAAUAUUUCCCACCUGGACUUUUAUUUUUGGACUGCUUCCCUUGCUUCAAGUUCACAGUCCUUUCAUCAUCCUCAUAAUCUAACCCCAAGCUCUUCUCCAACCUCAUCUUCUACCUUUCCUCUCUUUCAAGACACUCCAAGACUGCAGGUCUCCUGUUAUUAAAAGGUACAGUUUGUUGGAAUACAAUUCACAGCAUGUGAGAAUCCUCUUAACUUCACUGUGUUUUUGAGGCAGAGUCUCACUCUGUCACCCAGGCUGGAAUGCAGUGGCUCAACCAUGGCUCACUGCAGCCUCAGCCUUGGGGCUCAAGCAAUCCUCCCGGCACAGCCUCCAAAGUAGCUGAGACUAUAGGCACAUGCCACCAUACACAGCUAAUUUUUUUAUUUCAUUAUUUUUGGAAGGUAGGGAGUUUCCUUAUUUUGCCCAAGCUGGUCUCAAACUCCUGGGCUCAAACAAUUCUCCCAACAUGGCCUCCAAAGUGCUGGGAUUACAGGUGUGAGCCACGGUGCCUGGCCUCCUCUUAAUUUCAAAAAGAUGGAAAUUCAAUAUUUCCUAGACACGUCAAAGUGCCUAGUCCCAGACUUGGCAACAGACACCUGGGUAGCUUCAGAUUUGUUUUUAUGUGCUCCUGGGUAGGUCACUGAGGGUAGAAAUUAAAAGGCAUUUCCCACAUUUGGGGCUGGAUUAUAAUUCAUACUAUUACCCUGAGAAAAUGGUCUUUUCCCCCAAAAUUUCUAGAGAAGGAUACACCAUAGCCACUUUUACUGUCUGUGUUUUCAGCCAGGAAGUUCUAAUUCCUAAGUCAAGUCCCUUCAGCUCUACUUCAGCCUCAGCAGGAGCCAAGGUCAUGCGAUGACUCUGUCCCUCUCUGAUCCCACAUCUCCAGCCUACCUGCUUCAGGCGAGCUUUGGUGUGCGUGCUCUGUCCCAGGAGGAGCCUCACGUCUGGGUAAAUGCUCUUCUCAAGCAGCAGGACUACGGUGGUGGUUUUUGUAAUCAGAAGACAUCUUCAUUUUCCUUCUCCUGGACUCGGCUUCUGGACCAGACAGUAUCAGCAGGCUGUGGCUUCUGAGGAGACGACACCCUCCCGCACUGCUCAGUCACGCAUGGAAGACUCUGCAUCACCAAAUCUCUUACCGAAGCAAGCCCUGUGGGGCCCCACAGCGACUCAGGGUCAGCACUCCAGACCCAUGAGGGUUGCCUUAUGAGGACAACAGAAUGAGAAGCUGCGAGGAUUCCCUCACUCCUUUCCAGACAAAGCCCCAAGGCUGCCUGGUACAGACUCGCCUUGUCCCCUCUCCCCAGGGCAGCUGGCUGUAAGACACCAGGAAUGACCACCACCUUGACCGCGGAAUCUCUGACAUCAACAGGCAUCCAUUAGCGUCUUAGCCUACCUGUCUUUCCCAUAAGAGAGAAUAAUAGAAGGCAACAGGCUGGAGUGCAUUGGCACAGUCGUAGCUCACUGCAGCCGAGAACUCCUGGGCUCAAGUGAUCCUCCUGCCUCAGCUUCCCAAGUAGCUGCAGUAAUACAGCUGGGACCGCCAAGGACAGUGCUGAGCUGUGUCUCCUCUUCCGCCAAUGUAUCUUCGUGGGAGAUGAAAGACAGACAAGUAUCAAAAGGGCCAUCCCAGAUGCAAAGCAGGAACUGGCUUUUCAGAAGUACUGUAUAUUUGCUUGUUGAAAUAAAAAUCAUGAGCAAGAAAGAGGUAAAUAAAAGUUUUUCAAGCACUCAACAUUUUUCUUUCCUUCUGCUUGAAACGUACCAGACAUCAGGACAGUUUGAUCCAUGACGGGUACUGAACUCUAAGACAUUCCGGAGCUGUAAGAACAGUUAGGCCACAGUCGAAGAGAGAAAAGAUAAUCCACCUAAACCCACCGUGAUGCUCAGCAACCCGAGGAAGAGCGGGCAGAAAGAAGCUUUGUGUUCAGACUUCUGAGAGGAUGUCACCCUUUGAAGAUCGUUUCAAGUUCAAAGCACAGGGGGCUCAAAUGAUCCAACACAGGCAAGGAAAUAAAUAUCUACAAACACACACAUCGGCCAGAGCUGUGCAUGUGAGGCGCCCAACAGAGUGAGUUUUUCCAGGCUUAAGCUCUUCUGUUCCCCACCCCCAACCUCAAAGCA
This is a long non-coding RNA of Callithrix jacchus (white-tufted-ear marmoset), 2533 nucleotides long. RefSeq lists it as uncharacterized. NCBI's taxonomy places the organism in Eukaryota, Metazoa, Chordata, Mammalia, Primates, Cebidae. The record is from RefSeq and is a predicted model, not a curated record.